This is an RNA transcript of Danaus plexippus (monarch butterfly), 426 nucleotides long. RefSeq lists it as uncharacterized. Lineage: Eukaryota; Metazoa; Arthropoda; Insecta; Lepidoptera; Nymphalidae. The record is from RefSeq and is a predicted model, not a curated record. The transcript is spliced from 5 exons.
UUAAUAAGUUUUCCGAGAUAAGUGUCGUUUGAUAAAUCAAUUUCAAAUUAAUUUCCCGUUACUUGUAUAUGCGUUCCGCCGUCACGAUGUAUUCGUCAGUUCACGGCACUGAUUUGUCUCCGUUUUUUCUUCUUAUGUCGCAGGUAGUCUACUCGUCAUGUGUUCUUGGAGCUGUUAUGGUCAAGUUACCCAACGAGAUGUUUCUAGAAAACCGCUAACAAAGAAGACAAUGAAACGAAAUAUGAAGAUGAAGAGUCAAUGUUGGAAAUGGUCUUUCGCGUUCAACCCCAAGUUACUACGAGACGACCUGCGCUGGAUAAUCGUUGGUUGGUGAUGGCUCCUCAGGAUCAGGGAAGCAAAAUGUUCAUAAGCACUCACGAGAAACCUUUCAUCUUCGUGAAGAAAUAAAUCUCGACUUACAUUAAA